Molecule: microRNA, 22 nt
Filed under: Pristionchus pacificus
Lineage: Eukaryota; Metazoa; Nematoda; Chromadorea; Rhabditida; Neodiplogasteridae
Description: ppc-miR-8223-3p
Source: miRBase by way of RNAcentral
UGAUAUGAGCCCACCAGCGAGA